UACAGAGGGUGCGAGCGUUAAUCGGAAUUACUGGGCGUAAAGCGUGCGUAGACGGUUAUUUAAGUCGGGUGUGAAAGCCCCGGGCUCAACCUGGGAAUUGCAUUCGAGACUGAAUAGCUAGGGUACGGUAGAGGGAAGCGGAAUUUCCGGUGUAGCGGUGAAAUGCGUAGAUAUCGGAAGGAACAUCAGUGGCGAAAGCGGCUUCCUGGACCAGUACCGACGUUCAGGCACGAAGGCCAGGGGAGCAAACGGG
Molecule: ribosomal RNA, 253 nt
Filed under: uncultured bacterium
Lineage: Bacteria
Description: partial 16S ribosomal RNA
Rfam family: Bacterial small subunit ribosomal RNA
Source: RNAcentral